This 253-nucleotide ribosomal RNA is filed under the name uncultured bacterium. RNAcentral's name for it is "partial 16S ribosomal RNA". It matches the Rfam family "Bacterial small subunit ribosomal RNA", at positions 524 to 776 of the family's 1533-position model. The record is from RNAcentral.
UACGAAGGGGGCUAGCGUUGCUCGGAAUCACUGGGCGUAAAGGGCGCGUAGGCGGGUCUUUAAGUCAGGGGUGAAAUCCUGGAGCUCAACUCCAGAACUGCCUUUGAUACUGAGGAUCUUGAGUUCGGGAGAGGUGAGUGGAACUGCGAGUGUAGAGGUGAAAUUCGUAGAUAUUCGCAAGAACCCCAGUGGCGAAGGCGGCUCACUGGCCCGAUACUGACGCUGAGGCGCGAAAGCGUGGGGAGCAAACAGG